CCUCCUCGGUCGCGAGACGCCCCUGGGCCAUGAUUGUGAGCUGCAACUGUUGGCCCGAUGUUGCAGGCGGAGACCCCAAUUGGCCGGCAGAGGCCUGCGCAUUCUGGGCCUGGAUGGCGCUCGUCAGAUCCGUGGCGGUGAGGCCUAGGGCCUGCAUCCGGUCUGGGUUCAU
This 172-nucleotide small RNA is filed under the name Sinorhizobium meliloti 2011. RNAcentral describes it as "putative ncRNA". Lineage: Bacteria; Pseudomonadati; Pseudomonadota; Alphaproteobacteria; Hyphomicrobiales; Rhizobiaceae. The record is from RNAcentral.